GACGAACGCUGGCGGCGUGCUUAACACAUGCAAGUCGAACGGUGAAGCGCCUUCCUUUUUGGUGGGUGUGGAUGAGUGGCGAACGGGUGAGUAACACGUGAGUAACCUGCCCCCUUCUUCUGGAUAACCGCAUGAAAGUGUGGCUAAUACGGGAUAUUCUGGGUCUGUCGCAUGAUGGGUCUGGGAAAGAUAUUGUUUCGGUGGGGGAUGGGCUCGCGGCCUAUCAGCUUGUUGGUGGGGUGAUGGCCUACCAAGGCGGUGACGGGUAGCCGGCCUGAGAGGGUGGACGGUCACACUGGGACUGAGACACGGCCCAGACUCCUACGGGAGGCAGCAGUGGGGAAUAUUGCACAAUGGGCGCAAGCCUGAUGCAGCGACGCCGCGUGAGGGAUGGAGGCCUUCGGGUUGUGAACCUCUUUCGCCAGAGAAGCAGGCCUGCCUCGUUUGUGGGUGGGUUGACGGUAGCUGGAUAAGAAGCGCCGGCUAACUACGUG
This 494-nucleotide ribosomal RNA is filed under the name uncultured bacterium. RNAcentral describes it as "partial 16S ribosomal RNA". It matches the Rfam family "Bacterial small subunit ribosomal RNA", at positions 28 to 507 of the family's 1533-position model. The record is from RNAcentral.